Molecule: ribosomal RNA, 431 nt
Filed under: uncultured bacterium
Lineage: Bacteria
Description: partial 16S ribosomal RNA
Rfam family: Bacterial small subunit ribosomal RNA
Source: RNAcentral
AACGAACGCUGGCGGCAGGCUUAACACAUGCAAGUCGAGCGCCCCGCAAGGGGAGCGGCAGACGGGUGAGUAACGCGUGGGAACGUACCUUUUGGUUCGGAACAACUCCGGGAAACUGGAGCUAAUACCGGAUAAGCCCUAACGGGGAAAGAUUUAUCGCCGAAAGAUCGGCCCGCGUCUGAUUAGCUAGUUGGUGAGGUAACGGCUCACCAAGGCGACGAUCAGUAGCUGGUCUGAGAGGAUGAUCAGCCACACUGGGACUGAGACACGGCCCAGACUCCUACGGGAGGCAGCAGUGGGGAAUAUUGGACAAUGGGCGCAAGCCUGAUCCAGCCAUGCCGCGUGAGUGAUGAAGGCCUCAGGGUUGUAAAGCUCUUUUGUCCGGGAAGAUAAUGACUGUACCGGAAGAAUAAGCCCCGGCUAACUUCGUG